Molecule: ribosomal RNA, 433 nt
Filed under: uncultured Hyphomicrobiales bacterium
Lineage: Bacteria; Pseudomonadati; Pseudomonadota; Alphaproteobacteria; Hyphomicrobiales
Description: bacterial SSU rRNA
Rfam family: Bacterial small subunit ribosomal RNA
Source: RNAcentral
ACCAGCCCUUGACAUCCCGAUCAGGAUUAUCAGAGAUGAUGAUUGUCGGUUCGGCCGGAUCGGUGACAGGUGCUGCAUGGCUGUCGUCAGCUCGUGUCGUGAGAUGUUGGGUUAAGUCCCGCAACGAGCGCAACCCUCGCCCUUAGUUGCCAUCAUUAAGUUGGGCACUCUAAGGGGACUGCCGGUGAUAAGCCGAGAGGAAGGUGGGGAUGACGUCAAGUCCUCAUGGCCCUUACGGGCUGGGCUACACACGUGCUACAAUGGUGGUGACAGUGGGCAGCGAGACCGCGAGGUCGAGCUAAUCUCCAAAAGCCAUCUCAGUUCGGAUUGCACUCUGCAACUCGAGUGCAUGAAGUUGGAAUCGCUAGUAAUCGUGGAUCAGCAUGCCACGGUGAAUACGUUCCCGGGCCUUGUACACACCGCCCGUCACACC